GACAGAGGGUGCAAACGUUGUUCGGAAUUACUGGGCGUAAAGCGUGUGUAGGCUGCUCCGAUAGUCGGAUGUGAAAGCCCUGGGCUCAACCUAGGAAGUGCAUUCGAUACUCCGGAGCUUGAGUCCUGGAGAGGAAGGCGGAAUUCUCGGUGUAGAGGUGAAAUUCGUAGAUAUCGAGAGGAACACCGGUGGCGAAGGCGACUUACUGGACACAUAUUGACGCUGAGGUGCGAAAGCGUGGGGAGCAAACAGG
RNAcentral lists this ribosomal RNA (253 nucleotides) under uncultured bacterium. RNAcentral's name for it is "partial 16S ribosomal RNA". It matches the Rfam family "Bacterial small subunit ribosomal RNA", at positions 524 to 776 of the family's 1533-position model. The record is from RNAcentral.